UUUUAAUUACCACAUGUCUACAAAAUAGCAUUCAUCAAAUUUCAAAGAUAAAAUUCCAAAUUAUUUAUUUUUCGUAUAAAAGAUGCUGUGAAGCCAGCGUGCGCUCUGAAGAUGGCGCCGGGUUCAAAGCUGAGAGCAGAAGGACUGAUGUGUGGAUUUUACGCUGGUUGUAAGGCAGCGGAGAGUCUUAGAGGUGCUCGGAGAAGUGAGGCGAUCUUCACUCGAUGCUUGCUCGGUAACUACUACUUUAUUCAUCCAAAAAUGUCUAAGUGCAAAACUUUGCGUACAUACUUGCCCAAGGGCAGUGACCCUUCGUAAUUUGUAAUCUUAAGAUAGCUUAAUUACUAUACAGCGAUAUAUAUAUAAUUGUUAGCACAAGGGUCAGUGUGUGACGUGAUGGACCCUUGCUCAUCUGCGAAUGUGUUUACUAUCUACUGUAUCUACGUAACUACUGUACUUUCUAAACAUUAAGUGUGUUGAUAUACAUAUUACGAUGUUAGUCUUGUGAUUGCACUAUUGUAUAACUUAAUUGUAUUUAUUGUCUAAGUUCCCGGCGACGCACUAUCGGCACUAAAUAACACACCACACAGAAUUCCUAAGAAGUUGGAAAACUUCUGUCGCUUAUCUGUUUGCGGUGCAAACAGAUGCGAAACAAACUAAAAUAUACCUAUCUGAAUCCGCAGUACACAACAACUCUUUAACGACUCAGCAAUAUGAAGUUACUUCUGGUAUUUUUCUUGGGCGCACUUGUGUUUCAGUAUGCCUCUGCUAUGCUUGGCCCUGAUGUAAUUGGCGAUUGCCAUACGAGUAGAGUGUAUGAAUUAUUAAUUGGCCACGAUCCUUAUGAGAGAAAUCAUAAACUGUAUACAAGAAUUAGCAUGUGUGUCGAAGCGAUUAAGGGCCAACUGACGGAGGUUCAAAUUAGCAAACUUGAACAAUUUUGCAACACUCUUCGUACUGUAGAUGAGGGAAAUUGUUGGUAUGGUCAAAACUGCAUCCGUUUGCUCCGUGAUGAAAAGCACGUAUUCAGGACAAUUAAAUCUUCCAAACGAAUUCUCAAAUCGGCUAAGGCAUUAACUCCUGGUUGCAAGGGAAUUAUAGCUGAUAUUGAAGAUCUGGAAUCAAUUUGCGAUAUCAUGUUAAAAAAACAACCAGCUGAAUGAUAAGCGUAUAAUAAAAAAUACCAUCGUGUACCAA
Long non-coding RNA from Dalotia coriaria, 1197 nucleotides. RefSeq lists it as uncharacterized. NCBI's taxonomy places the organism in Eukaryota, Metazoa, Arthropoda, Insecta, Coleoptera, Staphylinidae. The transcript is spliced from 2 exons. The record is from RefSeq and is a predicted model, not a curated record.